Molecule: ribosomal RNA, 1113 nt
Filed under: Triticum aestivum (bread wheat)
Lineage: Eukaryota; Viridiplantae; Streptophyta; Magnoliopsida; Poales; Poaceae
Description: partial small subunit ribosomal RNA
Source: RNAcentral
AUGGUUUAUUACUUCUCUGCUAAAUAUUUCCCUGCUCAUAAGAAACAAGCUGCUUUGAGGGAUAUAUAUAAUUUUGUGCAAAUUGAAGAGGAGAGUCUCCCACAAGCUUGGGGGAGGCUUCUCAAGUUACUUAAUGCUUUGCCUGAUUAUCCUCUUAAGAAACCUGAAAUACUUGAUAUCUUUUAUAAUGGACUAAUUGAUGCUUCCAGAGAUUACCUGGAUAGUUGUGUUGGUUCUCUUUUCAGGGAAAGAACACCGGAUGAAGCUGAAAUUGUAUUGAAUAAUAUGUUGACAAAUGAAAAUAAUUGGGCACCUCCUGAGUCAACUCCCGAGCCAGCUCCUGAGCCAAUUACUGAGCCUAUUCCUAAACCAACUCCGAAAAAGAGAGGUGUCCUAUUUCUCAGUCCCGAAGAUAUGCAAGAGGCAAAGAAAACUAUGAAAGAAAAAGGUAUUAAAGUUGAAGAUGUUAAGAAUUUACCUCCUAUUGAAGAAAUACAUGGUCUUAAUUUACCGCCUGUUGAAGAAGUAUAUGAUCUCAAUUACUUAUUUAAUGAAGAACCUCCCGACAUCCCGACACAGGUAGUAAAGGUAAAUUCUCUCUACAGAUAUGAUAAAAGUGAAGUCCCUUCUACUAAAAUUGCUAGUCAGUGCUUGGAUGAGUUUGAUGACUUUAUGUUUAAGCAAGAUGACUUUAAUGCUUAUUUUGGUAGACAAUUAAAACAGAACACCUUUAUGCUUAAACGCUUGAGUGAUUAUAUAGAUAAUAUUAGAGGUGAACUUAAACUUGUUAGCAAACAUGCUUCUAUGGUUACCACUCAAGUAGAACAAGUACUUAAAGCUCAGAAAGAAGUGCUUAAUGAAAUGAAUAGUAAGAAAAAUGAUUAUGCUGUUAGAGUGGCUACUAGAACUGGUAGAAUGACUCAGGUACCUUUGUAUCCUGAAGGCCACCCUAAGAGAAUCGAGCAAGAUUCUCAGAGAAAUAAUAUUGAUAUGCCUAGUUCUUCUAAAAGGAAGAAAAAGAAAAAUGAUAGAACUGUGCAAACUUCUAAUGAACCUAUUGCCGAACCACCUGAUAAUCCAAAUGAUAUAUCUAUGUCUGAUGCUGAAACAUAA